AUUGAACGCUGGCGGCAGGCCUAACACAUGCAAGUCGAACGGUAACAGGAAGCAGCUUGCUGCUUUGCUGACGAGUGGCGGACGGGUGAGUAAUGUCUGGGAAACUGCCUGAUGGAGGGGGAUAACUACUGGAAACGGUAGCUAAUACCGCAUAACGUCGCAAGACCAAAGAGGGGGACCUUCGGGCCUCUUGCCAUCGGAUGUGCCCAGAUGGGAUUAGCUUGUUGGUGGGGUAACGGCUCACCAAGGCGACGAUCCCUAGCUGGUCUGAGCGGAUGACACGCCACACUGGAACGGGAACAGGGACACUCCUCCUACGGGAGGAGGCGGGGGGGAAUAUUGCAAAAUGGGGGCAAUCCGGAUGCACCCAUCCGGGGUGUAUAAAGAUGUCUUUGGGUUUGUAAAGUAUUUCCAGGGGGGGGAAAGGGAGUAAAUUUAAUACCUUUCCUAAUUGACGUUCCCCGAAAAAGAAGCACCGGCAAACCCCGUG
RNAcentral lists this ribosomal RNA (490 nucleotides) under uncultured bacterium. RNAcentral describes it as "partial 16S ribosomal RNA". It matches the Rfam family "Bacterial small subunit ribosomal RNA", at positions 30 to 507 of the family's 1533-position model. The record is from RNAcentral.